Molecule: ribosomal RNA, 304 nt
Filed under: uncultured fungus
Lineage: Eukaryota; Fungi
Description: eukaryotic LSU rRNA
Rfam family: 5.8S ribosomal RNA (bases 1-71)
Source: RNAcentral
GUGAAUCAUCGAAUCUUUGAACGCACAUUGCGCCCGCCAGUACUCUGGCGGGCAUGCCUGUUCGAGCGUCAUUUCAACCCUCAAGCCCCCUUGGGGGCUUGGUGUUGGGGACCGGCCCUGCCCUAUCGCUAGUCGCCGCCCCCGAAACUACAGUGGCGGUCUCGCUGCAGCCUCCUCUGCGUAGUACCUGAAACCUCGCACUGGAGUGCGGCGCGCUACGCCGUUAAACCCCCAACUUUGCAAAAGGUUGACCUCGGAUCAGGUAGGGAUACCCGCUGAACUUAAGCAUAUCAAUAAGCGGAGG